CUGUGAAUAGCACUGUUGUGAACAUUGGU
Molecule: non-coding RNA, 29 nt
Filed under: Homo sapiens (human)
Lineage: Eukaryota; Metazoa; Chordata; Mammalia; Primates; Hominidae
Source: RNAcentral